RNAcentral lists this ribosomal RNA (179 nucleotides) under uncultured bacterium. Its description in RNAcentral is "partial 16S ribosomal RNA". It matches the Rfam family "Bacterial small subunit ribosomal RNA", at positions 1314 to 1500 of the family's 1533-position model. The record is from RNAcentral.
GACUCCAUGAAGCUGGAUUCGCUAGUAAUCGCGCAUCAGCCACGGCGCGGUGAAUACGUUCCCGGGCCUUGUACACACCGCCCGUCAAGCCAUGGAAGCCGGGGGUGCCUGAAGUGCGCUGCCGCAAGGAGCGCCCUAGGGUAAAACCGGUGACUGGGGCUAAGUCGUAACAAGGUACC